UACGUAGGGGGCGAGCGUUGUCCGGAAUUAUUGGGCGUAAAGGGUGCGUAGGCGGCCCUGCAAGUUGGAUGUGAAAUCCCCGUGCUUAACAUGGGAAUUGCAUUCAAAACUGUAGGGCUUGAGUGUGGAAGAGGUAAGUGGAAUUCCCAGUGUAGCGGUGAAAUGCGUAGAUAUUGGGAGGAACACCAGUGGCGAAGGCGACUUACUGGGCCACAACUGACGCUGAGGCACGAAAGCGUGGGGAG
RNAcentral lists this ribosomal RNA (245 nucleotides) under uncultured Eubacteriales bacterium. Its description in RNAcentral is "uncultured Clostridiales bacterium partial 16S ribosomal RNA". It matches the Rfam family "Bacterial small subunit ribosomal RNA", at positions 524 to 768 of the family's 1533-position model. The record is from RNAcentral. Lineage: Bacteria; Bacillati; Bacillota; Clostridia; Eubacteriales.